RNAcentral lists this ribosomal RNA (460 nucleotides) under uncultured bacterium. RNAcentral's name for it is "partial 16S ribosomal RNA". It matches the Rfam family "Bacterial small subunit ribosomal RNA", at positions 338 to 795 of the family's 1533-position model. The record is from RNAcentral.
CCUACGGGUGGCAGCAGUGAGGAAUAUUGGUCAAUGGCCGGAAGGCUGAACCAGCCAUGCCGCGUGAAGGUCAGUGCCCUAUGGGCGUUAAACUUCUUUUGUGCGGGAGCAAUAAUGGUCACGUGUGGCCAGACGAGAGUACCGUACGAAUAAGCAUCGGCUUACUUCGUGCCAGCAGCCGCGGUAAUACGGGGGAUGCAAGCGUUAUCCGGAUUUAUUGGGUUUAAAGGGUGCGUAGGCUGUGAGGUAAGUCAGCGGUGAAAUGCCCCCGCUCAACGGGGUGAAGUGCCAUUGAUACUGCCUGGCUGGAAUGCGGAUGCCGUGGGAGGAAUGUGUGGUGUAGCGGUGAAAUGCAUAGAUAUCACACAGAACACCGAUUGCGAAGGCAUCUCACGAAUCCGCGAUUGACGCUGAUGCACGAAAGCGUGGGUAUCAAACAGGAUUAGAUACCCUGGUAGUC